AACUUUCAACAAAGGAUCUCUUGGCUCUCGUAUCGAUGAAGAACGCAGCAAAGCGCGAAAUGUAAUGUGAAUUGCAGAACAUUGUGAAUCAUCGAAUCUUUGAACGCACAUUGCGCCUCCUGUAAAUGGGAGGCAUGCCUGUCUGAGCGUCAUUU
Molecule: ribosomal RNA, 155 nt
Filed under: uncultured fungus
Lineage: Eukaryota; Fungi
Description: 5.8S ribosomal RNA
Rfam family: 5.8S ribosomal RNA
About the family: 5.8S ribosomal RNA (5.8S rRNA) is a component of the large subunit of the eukaryotic ribosome. It is transcribed by RNA polymerase I as part of the 45S precursor that also contains 18S and 28S rRNA. Functionally, it is thought that 5.8S rRNA may be involved in ribosome translocation.
Source: RNAcentral